UGCACCGGUAGCUCAGCUGGAUAGAGCACACGGCUACGAACCGUGAGGUCGGAGGUUCGAAUCCUCUCCGGUGCAA
RNAcentral lists this transfer RNA (76 nucleotides) under Chlamydiota bacterium. RNAcentral's name for it is "Chlamydiae bacterium tRNA-Arg". It matches the Rfam family "tRNA". From Rfam's summary of the family: Transfer RNA (tRNA) molecules are approximately 80 nucleotides in length. Their secondary structure includes four short double-helical elements and three loops (D, anti-codon, and T loops). Further hydrogen bonds mediate the characteristic L-shaped molecular structure. tRNAs have two regions of fundamental functional importance: the anti-codon, which is responsible for specific mRNA codon recognition, and the 3' end, to which the tRNAs corresponding amino acid is attached (by aminoacyl-tRNA synthetases). tRNAs cope with the degeneracy of the genetic code in two manners: having more than one tRNA (with a specific anti-codon) for a particular amino acid; and 'wobble' base-pairing, i.e. permitting non-standard base-pairing at the 3rd anti-codon position. Lineage: Bacteria; Pseudomonadati; Chlamydiota. The record is from RNAcentral.